RNAcentral lists this ribosomal RNA (492 nucleotides) under uncultured bacterium. RNAcentral describes it as "partial 16S ribosomal RNA". It matches the Rfam family "Bacterial small subunit ribosomal RNA", at positions 29 to 507 of the family's 1533-position model. The record is from RNAcentral.
AGUGAACGCUGGCGGUAGGCCUAACACAUGCAAGUCGAACGGCAGCACAGUAAGAGCUUGCUCUUACGGGUGGCGAGUGGCGGACGGGUGAGGAAUACAUCGGAAUCUACUUUUUCGUGGGGGAUAACGUAGGGAAACUUACGCUAAUACCGCAUACGACCUACGGGUGAAAGCAGGGGAUCUUCGGACCUUGCGCGACUGAAUGAGCCGAUGUCGGAUUAGCUAGUUGGCGGGGUAAAGGCCCACCAAGGCGACGAUCCGUAGCUGGUCUGAGAGGAUGAUCGGCCACACUGGAACUGAGACACGGUCCAGACUCCUACGGGAGGCAGCAGUAGGGAAUAUUGGACAAUGGGCGCAAGCCUGAUCCAGCCAUACCGCGUGAGUGAAGAAGGCCUUCGGGUUGUAAAGCCCUUUUGUUAGGAAAGAAAAGCAGCAGGUUAAUACCCCGCUGUUCUGACGGUACCCAAAGAAUAAGCACCGGCUAACUUCGUG